This is a long non-coding RNA of Phasianus colchicus (ring-necked pheasant), 8097 nucleotides long. RefSeq lists it as uncharacterized. Lineage: Eukaryota; Metazoa; Chordata; Aves; Galliformes; Phasianidae. The record is from RefSeq and is a predicted model, not a curated record.
UGAAAAAUGCCUGCUGCUCACAUUGGACAAACCUCAUGGUGAUUUCCUCAGUGUUAUCUACUACUUUUCCAACGAUUUUGGUUAAGAUAUUUAAAUCUUCAAGUAAGAGAACUACACAGCAUAACAGCCUUCUAACAGAUUGACUCGUUAUAUGUAAAAACCAAAACCUGUGCCUCUGUUUGGGUAGUUUAACAGAUAGCCAGCACCUGUGGCACCCCUGUGAAAGCAUAUUUAGGAGAGGGCAGAAAGCUCCAGAGAGAGAACAUGGAAGGAGAAGAAGGUAUGCUGUGGAGAAGCUGUUAUUCUGCUACAGGGCCUGUAGCCUGGUAGGGCUUGCUCUGGUAGGCAGGAAAAGAGGAGGAGCAGGAGAUAAGCAGUGUGUGGAUUACAGUCUCCUGUACCCCAGUCUCAGCAGCGUGACCUGGGUGACAGCACGGGGGCAGGGCUGCACUCAGGAGUGCAGAUCACGGCCAGUGCUUGAAGCUCAGCCCUCCAAAGAAGGAGGACUAUCUUUCCCAUGCGUUUAGUGAAAGCUGUUUUGCCCGCGACGGUAACCGGCAGCGACCUCCCUCCGUUCUGACCCGCCGCUUCUCCCCUCACCCCGCAGGGAGGGGCAGCAGCUGUGCGCCUAUCGCCCAGGCAAGCUGAAAAAACCACUGAAAAUUCUUAAAGAAUGAAUGUAAGCGGGAACUAAUGACAGAUUUUGCAGACGCUAAAGGGCAGAUGUCGUGAAGCCUGACGGGAGUCACCACGAGGACGACGUAUCGGACUUCCCAUGUGCGGUGUACUGACCUUAGCAAGUUGGGAAGACGUGCCCACAAAUGAUAGAUCAUUAGGAAAUUCUCUGAAUAGCAAACAUCUGAAGUCAGUCCAAGUUCUAUUUGCUAUACAUCGUGAUAAAACUGGAAAGUCAAAGGAGGCACAAAUUAUAUGCUUAGUCUGUAAUUUAUCAGUUGCUGAAGCUGUUGUUUCCCCCAAACCCAACCUCUUUUGCAACAUAAUUCAACAAGAUUGCCGAAGCUCACUAAACUGAGUAGGGCUGACAAAUUUUUGACAAUUAAUUCUCUUCAGUGUAAGAUCCUUCUGCCACAACAAAAACAGGCAUUUCUUUUUGCCAUAACAUAGCAUCAUUGUAAUGUUGGUCUAUAAGCUUGUUUUGAAAUUAUAUUUUGGAAACUCAUCCCAUUAAGAGAACAAAAUGCAGCUGCAGCAACUGUAGGACUUUUGUCUACAAUCAGUCCUUUGUUAAUGAUUUGUUUCUGUUAAUGCAAUACUGUAUAUAAUCUGUCCAUGAUUUUAGCCAACAGAAAAAGCAGGUGAUCUUGUUUCCCACCAGGUCUUGUGGAAAAAAAAAAGAGGAUGUUUAAUGCAGUGAGAUAAAGAAUAGAUGACUGUAAAUUCUAAUGAAUAUUCAUUGAGUUAAGAUACUAUACCACGUGUCAAGAAAUAAUGUGACUUGCUAUGAUUUAACAUAUCUCAAAGAACUUCCAGUGUAACCAGUUGUUAAUAUUUAAUUUUAAUGCUUUCUUAAAGCGUUGACUUUUUGCAGUGAAUGUUUCUGAACUCAUUGGGAGUGAGAUGAUUUCUUUACAGUGAUACAUGAUACCUCAAAAGCAUUGCAAUGAUAAGAGGGAUAUUUUUCAUAUAAUCUUUAAUUUUUUUCAGCUGCUGAAGAGUCGUGCUUUCUUUUACAAUAAUGCUGAAUUGCUGCUAGAAGGUGGAAAAAACCCUCUAUCUUCAAUAUUAGAUGUUCUAACAGGAUGGAAAAAAUUGUAUUUGUUAAUUUUUUAGAAGUGCUUUUUUCUCCCCACAGAUAACCAUCCAGCAAUUUCAAAAAAUUGUAUAUAAAAGUAUAAGAAUAAGUGGGUAAAACAAUUAGUGGUAACUUGGAGUAUUUUAGUAUUAGUUAAAGAUAUUUAAUUCUUCCCUGGAUACUCUAAUACUUAUAGGGCAAAAAAUAAUAGUUUUCAAAGUGACAGUUUAAAUGAGAUUCAUGUCUGCAUUAAAACAACUUUGUUUUGGUGCCCAACGUAAAAUGUGUUUUAGCUACUGUUGGAGAAAAUACAUCUAUUAUGCUUUGAAGCUUAAAGAACAACUCAGCUCAACUUCAGUUAAAUGUCUAAGCUACAUCUAGGAAGUUCAUUAAUUGCAAGAAAUAUCCUUGGAUGCUAAUUCAUUUCUGCUUUUAAUGGUUCUUAUCGUACUUUUGGCCAGGGUUAACUUGCAUCUAAAAAAAUUAGUAAUUAGAUAAUAUUCCGGAGUUUGCUCUACUAAACGAAAAAAUCUGUCUUUUUUUUUGCAUUUAUAUGGUAGGCCUCUUAUGAUAGGAUUUCAAUUCCUCAUUACCACAGCAGCUUUUCUCUUCACUAGUCUACUACUAUUGGUCUAAAUUAAUCUUGUAUAUGGGAGAUCAGUAGGAUUUGAGACGAGGUUUCACCAUGUCCAGUUCUACUGAAUCAGCAGCACCUUGUCUCUAAGACAAAUGUUAUUUUAGCAAUAUUCUUAGAUAUGAGAGGGGAAAAAAAGGAAAGAUGUUCUAUUCCAAAAGGUCAGAUCGCAUAACGUAAUUCAAAAUAUACUACUGGAGGAUACUGCUUGCUACUCAACAACUCAAAUAAAUGAAGUCCAAGCAUUGUAAUGGACAGAAUGUUAAAUGUGUUAGGGACAGUGAUAACAUCUGUAAUAAUAGACAUUUUAGUGGUCUGCAUGCUCUGCCAUUGGAUCCAUAUGUAGAUACCCACAUAUGAGACAUUAAAAAUGCAAAAUUUACUUUAAAAUUUAGUGAAAGUUUUGAUUAGUGCUGGAAAACUGUCAUGUGGAGUGAAUAUAAAUAUGCACCUAGUUUAAGUGCCUAAGUAAAGAAAUAGAAUUCUGUAAUUGACAUUGCUUUCCUUUAAAUACCUAUUAUCCAUGACUGCAGGUAUGACCAUGACUCAGUAGGUAACAGAGCCAAUGAAAGUUCUUUUCUCAAAAUGGCUUUCUGAAUUCCUAAGUGUGAGCUAAUAAGCCAAGCAGUGAAUUAAACAAUCACUCAGUGUCAGAAAAACAACUUUGUAUUUUCCUGUAAUAGUUAUAUUUCCUCAUUUCAAUUUUUGAUUAAAUUGGUAUUACAAAGGGUACAGUCUAGUCCUUUAGUGGCAGUAAUUAGAAGAACAUACAUUACAUUUAUUUCUUUGAGAGCUGAUUUUUAGAUAUCAGUUUUGAUACUUAUUGGCCAUGAGCAUUCAUGCAUGAUUCACUAGAAAAUUGUCUACAUCUGAAGCAAUUACACAGGUACUUUGUUGUAGGAAGCUGUUAACUGAGUCCCUCUUCAUGUUCAGAGAGCUGGGGUGGAAAAGAAAACAAAAGUUUAUUUUCUCAAUGAGGAGGAACUUGCUCAACUUCUUGUCUGUGUUAGACUUCAAAGGUACUCUAGUUGAGGCUAUAUUUUCCUUGGCCUAUGCUUUAUAUAAAGGAGAAGAUGGUUAUAAACAUGCCCAUCUUCCUCUGUUCUGUCUAAAGAAACAUGCUGUUUGGCAUUAGAUGUUAGCAUAAAUAAAAAUCUGAGACACUUAGGCACUUUUUUCUUUUUACACUUUGGCAUAGAAGAUCAAAGAUCAAGAACUUUAGAUUAAAUUCACGAAUCUGCUUCUGGUCCCACCUAAAACCAUGAAGAGUUACUUUCCUUCACAGUGGUGGGUUAACUGGAGAAAUAAGCAUUCCGAUAAUCUGCUGUUCUGCCUUCACAGUUUUGGACUGCUAUGGUUUUAUAUGUAGUACUUGUACAAAGUGUUCUUGGAUCACGUUUAUUUUCAUCUGAGGUUGUUUCAGCAUGCAGGGAUCAAUCUGGAAGAUGCUGCUGCUGGCAAAAUUGGGUAAGUGGUCCAUAUACAGCCAAAGAACAUCAGUUCCCAUUGAUGUCUUUGGUGAUAAGCACUGUUCAUGUACUAGAAAUUACAAGAGAAGUAUUUUAUGGCCACAGAGCAAAAGUGAAUUGGUUUGGAAUGUGAGACAGAUUUUUUAAAUAAUUAGUAAAUACAAAAUGCACUGUUGGUGUUGUUUCUCAAUUAGUCUCAUUGUUCAAAUUAGAUUAAUUUGCUGUACAAAACUCACUUAUGCUCCAGGUUCUGAUGCUAACAAAAACACUUCCUGUAAAACAUAAAUUCAUUACUGAACAAAUGAAUGAAGAACAGAAUUGAAAUGAUUUCACAAAUUGAAAUUGUGCCUGAAUGCCAUAAUUACUCAAACCGGUGCUGUCAAAUGGUUUAAUGAAGCUUUUGUGGCAGUGAAGAUCUUAAUUCUGCAUCUGUAUUAUGUCAAAUGCAAAAAAAAGAUUCCUUCCACCACUGGAAUUACAAUUUACGUGCUGUUGGAAGAGAAGGUAUUUCCACCCUUCAGUGGUUGUAGCACAUACGGCAAAGAAUAGGGAAGUUUUAAAGAAAAAAAUCAAAGCUUAUAAGUACAAAAAGACCAUUAAUUGGAGUGAGUUGGUUAUAUUCAUGCAAGGAAUACAUAUCUUGUGUACCUAAGAAAGUAAUUAUGUAUCUUUGUUACUGAAGGGUGUAUUCAACAAAACAAAUCUCUCAUUUUCUGCACUACUUGCUUAAGACUGGAAAAACUGCUGUAUUAUCAGCUGUUUUCACUGUGAUGUGAUUGCUACUGUAGUACAUGAUAUGUACCUGAAGAACUUGAUGACUGACUUCAGAAAAAUUGAGCAAUAGUUUAAAAAAGAUUGUCGUCUUGACUGUGAAGGUCUGCACAGAUCAUAGGAUCAUAGCAUCCACACAAAAGCAAUAUACAAACUAAAUUGGGUUCAAUCCUGCCAGGCCUUUGUUGUCAUUUAGUAAAACAGGACUAAAGCAGAGAACUUAAUUUCUCAGUUUAAGGUCUAGAAAAGUGUUUGCAUACAAUGAAGCUACUUUUGUGGUCUUAAUGGAAAUAUUAAUAUACAUUAUAAAGAAAAAUGUAUGUUACUACUGUGUUUUCUGUGAUUUCUUGUGCUUGUUAAUGUUACAGUUUCAAGUAUUGCCAUGUAUUAUGAUAUUUUGUGUGACACCACACGAAAAUCUUGUUUUAUACAGAUUUUUACAAUCCCUUGGGCCAAAUGAACUUUGCAACAAAAGGGCAGAAAUGCCUCACCAUCAGGGGUGCAGGCCCUUAACAUCCAAGCCUGGCAGGAAGAUGAAGCAAGAAUUGAAAUUGUUAUAAUGAAACAAGGGCAAUAGUGUGAGACACAAAGAUGUCAUGGUUAUCUCUAGAUCUGUCUGUCUGUGAUGGGGAACAGCAGGCCUAACAGCCCAAAAAAGGAGAGGGGAGAGGAAGGGAACAAAAACAGUAAGAAAAAAAAACAAGUGGGCAGCAAUGAUCUCAGGAGGGAAAUGAAUUUACUAAUUAUAAUAGCAGAAAUGCAAGUUAAUUAGUAUUGAUGCUAUUAAAUAAAAUGAGAGAGUUUCUGAUAACUGAAGUUUUUACUCUGAUCCACCAGGGAGCAAACAGUCUUGUGACUUUCAGUCAGUCUUAUCUUUCUCUUGGACUGGAAAAGGGAAACAGAAUAGCAGAGUCUUCUGGGAGCUGUAGGACAUUUCUUCUCUUCUGAGACUCCCAGUGUGCUAUGUGAUAUAAUGAUGUGGAGCAAUGAUAACAAAAAUCAUAAAAUUGCAAUAAAGGAGCAUCCUCAAACAUUCCAAGACUAGAUGAGAUCCCAUGGCUUGCUAUUAAAUAAAUUACCAAACUAUGGAGUUGCUGUAAUUUGUAUGAGGAGCACAGCAAAGAUCACACGAAGAACCCGUGUUGGUAGUUGGGUUUUUUUUUUUUUUAACAGCUUGAUCCAGUUUGUCUCAUCUGUCCCAAGGGAAAAUGCUAGAGCAUCAGCAAGUGACAAAAGGGCAGCUGAGCUGCAGCUUGAUCUUAGAGCUUCUGAAGGGAGGAGGUGACAGCCAUACUAACAGUUGAGCCAAGAGCCACUAGUAGUGAGAUCAGAAAUGGGCUCAGAAAUGAAGGCAGAGCAGCAAGGGUUUCUGCACCAGCAGCUGUUAAAUGACAGCAGAAGCAGACAUGGGGGAUUGCCAUUUAUUUCAAACUAGGCUUAGCUUUAUAAUAAUGCUCGACAACAACUGCUCUGACUUAAGGUAGCAUGGUAAAAAGGGGAUGAAAUAACCCCAGGUGCCCUACUUGGUCUACCACACUUUUGGGCUUGGAUGGAAGCAGAUAUAAAAGGGAAUUGAGAGGAUUGCUUUUCCUGGCUUCUCCAGAAGUUCAGCAACUUCCACAACUCUUUUUUUAGGGCCUUGUAGCUUAUAUGGAAAGUUAUCUAAUCAUUUAAUAUAUUCAUCUAUAUUUCUUAAUUAUAUAGUACCAUGUGAGCUUUGAUAACUUGCCUCAAACUUACCUUAGGCUUCCUUUCUUUAUGGGCCAUGUAAUUAUCCCUACGAGGACAAAAAGGAAAAAAAAAACAUUUUAGCCUUCUUCAUCUUAAAUGUGCUACAGCAAACUUCUGCCACAAAAGUCCUAGAGCUGAAACAACCCCAAAGCUGUGAGGAACAUUUUACAGUGUGUAUUUACAACUGAAGGGCUAUUAACCUGUCUUUAAUGUGAUUGUUUGCCUAAUUUGUGACCAAAACGAAUGGUCCAAGUGAGUUCAGAGUUUGCAGCAUGCCCUUAACCUCCUGUAUUAUUAAUACUAGGCAGGCAUCCAGAAAUAGUAAUGGAGAUACAGGGCUUCUUCAGCGCUGAAAGGGUUGCAGUCCUGGUAAUACAUUCUCAACUGCUUAUUCCCUAUUGCACAAAAUCAACCUAAUUACCUAAUAAGUCAUUUUUCACACAUUAGUUUUUAAAAUUUGGAGUCAUUUGUCAGCAAAGCUCUCCUAGAUAGACCUACAUGCCCUUUAUUGAUUUUGGGUGGAGGAAAAAUACAUGUAAAUACAAGACAACGUAAUUUCAGACAUAAAUCAAUUACAUUUUUAUCAUUUGAGCGUUAUGGCUGUCUACUAAUCCAAAGUCUUUAAAAUGCUUUCUUACACUUCAAGAAAAGGUUAUAAUUUGCAUAAACAUUAAAUAUUGUGGUUUUCAUUUUGUUGAACAAUUGAGAAAUCCAUUAUUUGCUGAAAAGCACAGAUCGCCCAUGAUUUCCAUCAGGCAGCAAGAUCUUUGUUAAUUUUUGGAUGCAUUUUCCUGGACUCGUGUUUUAGUGGUAUUCUACUUAUCAGUACAAAUUCUACUUAUUCAGUACACCCUAGUGCCAUAGUAGCUUCCCUAUUGCUAUUAAAAUUACCUUAAAAAUGUUGAAACCAGUUCUGCACACCUACUACCAAUCCUGCAUUGCCCAUUUUGUUUCUGUGAUGUGUGUUCUGCACUUUAACACUGCCUCUAACCGCUCAAGGUAGAAAAAUGAAUAAUGCAAAUUUCUUGCAAGGAAAAAGGUAACAGUUUCCUGGGGCAGUGAAGAAUAGGCCCUUGAGGGAGAUUUCUAAUACAGUUUUUGAAUUAAAUGGCUCGUUGGUUGUCAGCAUUCUUCUGCAUUUUGGUUUCUUGGUAGGGUGAAUUACUGGGAAACUAUUUGACCUCUUCACCUGUCUGUGCGCUCUGUGCAAAAUAUGCUUAAAUGGUUACAGCAAGAACAAGAGACUGAAUGAGCAUCACUUGAAGGAAAGCAAAAGUUGCAUUUUUAUCUCUAAUUUUUCUCUGGCAGCUGAGCACUGGAAUAAGCCUUUGAAAAUGGUGGCUUUGAGCAAAAUGUCUGAUUAGGGCUUUUAAUAAUAUGAAUCAAAAAUAAUAUUAAAUGAGUGGUGAAAAGUCUCAAUGUGAAAAAGGGGCAAUGUUUAUUAUAACACUUCAAACGGAUAUAAAAUCCCUGAUCCAUUACACACUACAGCAGAUGCCAACAAAGGGCACUAUCUACGCUGUGUUUUACCUUUGAAAACUAAGGGCCAGACACUGCCAAGGUCUGAAGUACUUCAGUAUUACUGCCUGGAUAAACGGGCUAUACAUGGGAUUGUCUGGAAUAAAUCAUGUCAGAAGGCUCUGAAUUCCUCCCACAACACUGCCACAGGCCUCAUGGUGGUUUAGUGGCGCAUGCCUGAAUGCUUCAAAUGACACUCACAUGACAUAAGGCACUCUACU